CAAGUCGAACGGCAGCACAGAGGAGCUUGCUCCUUGGGUGGCGAGUGGCGGACGGGUGAGGAAUACAUCGGAAUCUACUUUUUCGUGGGGGAUAACGUAGGGAAACUUACGCUAAUACCGCAUACGACCUACGGGUGAAAGCAGGGGAUCUUCGGACCUUGCGCGAUUGAAUGAGCCGAUGUCGGAUUAGCUAGUUGGCGGGGUAAAGGCCCACCAAGGCGACGAUCCGUAGCUCCUCUGUGAGGAUGAUCAGCCACACUGGAACUGAGACACGGUCCAGACUCCUACGGGAGGCAGCAGUGGGGAAUAUUGGACAAUGGGCGCAAGCCUGAUCCAGCCAUACCGCGUGGGUGAAGAAGGCCUUCGGGUUGUAAAGCCCUUUUGUUGGGAAAGAAAUCCAGCUGGCUAAUACCCGGUUGGGAUGACGGUACCCAAAGAAUAAGCACCGGCUAACUUCGUGCCAGCAGCCGCGGUAAUACGAAGGGUGCAAGCGUUACUCGGAAUUACUGGGCGUAAAGCGUGCGUAGGUGGUCGUUUAAGUCCGUUGUGAAAGCCCUGGGCUCAACCUGGGAACUGCAGUGGAUACUGGGCGACUAGAAUGUGGUAGAGGGUAGCGGAAUUCCUGGUGUAGCAGUGAAAUGCGUAGAGAUCAGGAGGAACAUCCAUGGCGAAGGCAGCUACCUGGACCAACAUUGACACUGAGGCACGAAAGCGUGGGGAGCAAACAGGAUUAGAUACCCUGGUAGUCCACGCCCUAAACGAUGCGAACUGGAUGUUGGGUGCAAUUUGGCACGCAGUAUCGAAGCUAACGCGUUAAGUUCGCCGCCUGGGGAGUACGGUCGCAAGACUGAA
This 852-nucleotide ribosomal RNA is filed under the name Stenotrophomonas hibiscicola. RNAcentral describes it as "bacterial SSU rRNA". It matches the Rfam family "Bacterial small subunit ribosomal RNA", at positions 58 to 898 of the family's 1533-position model. The record is from RNAcentral. Lineage: Bacteria; Pseudomonadati; Pseudomonadota; Gammaproteobacteria; Lysobacterales; Lysobacteraceae.